RNAcentral lists this ribosomal RNA (254 nucleotides) under uncultured bacterium. RNAcentral's name for it is "partial 16S ribosomal RNA". It matches the Rfam family "Bacterial small subunit ribosomal RNA", at positions 524 to 776 of the family's 1533-position model. The record is from RNAcentral.
GACGAACCGUGCGAACGUUAUUCGGAAUCACUGGGCUUAAAGCGCGUGUAGGCGGGACGGCACGUCUGUCGCUGAAAUCCCCCGGCUCAACCGGGGAACGGGCGCGGAUACGACCGUCCUGGAGGGGCGUAGGGGGACCUGGAACUUCCGGUGGAGCGGUGAAAUGCGUUGAGAUCGGAAGGAACGCCCGUGGCGAAAGCGAGGUCCUGGACGCUUACUGACGCUGAGACGCGAAAGCCAGGGGAGCAAACGGG